This 484-nucleotide ribosomal RNA is filed under the name uncultured bacterium. RNAcentral's name for it is "partial 16S ribosomal RNA". It matches the Rfam family "Bacterial small subunit ribosomal RNA", at positions 30 to 507 of the family's 1533-position model. The record is from RNAcentral.
AUUGAACGCUGGCGGCAGGCCUAACACAUGCAAGUCGAGCGGAUGAAGGGAGCUUGCUCCUGGAUUCAGCGGCGGACGGGUGAGUAAUGCCUAGGAAUCUGCCUGGUAGUGGGGGAUAACGUCCGGAAACGGGCGCUAAUACCACAUACGUCCUGAGGGAGAAAGUGGGGGAUCUUCGGACCUCACGCUAUCAGAUGAGCCUAGGUCGGAUUAGCUAGUUGGUGGGGUAAAGGCCUACCAAGGCGACGAUCCGUAACUGGUCUGAGAGGAUGAUCAGUCACACUGGAACUGAGACACGGUCCAGAAUCCUACGGGAGGCAGCAGUGGGGAAUAUUGGACAAUGGGCGAAAGCCUGAUCCAGCCAUGCCGCGUGUGUGAAGAAGGUCUUCGGAUUGUAAAGCACUUUAAGUUGGGAGGAAGGGCAGUAAGUUAAUACCUUGCUGUUUUGACGUUACCAACAGAAUAAGCACCGGCUAACUUCGUG